GCGCGUUCCCCUCUGGAGGUUUUGACCUUCACACCUGGCCGGGCCCCGAGUCCGGCCUUUUUCUUGCGCCAG
RNAcentral lists this unclassified non-coding RNA (72 nucleotides) under Mesorhizobium qingshengii. RNAcentral describes it as "suhB". Lineage: Bacteria; Pseudomonadati; Pseudomonadota; Alphaproteobacteria; Hyphomicrobiales; Phyllobacteriaceae. The record is from RNAcentral.